This is a long non-coding RNA of Mandrillus leucophaeus (drill), 625 nucleotides long. RefSeq lists it as uncharacterized. The transcript is spliced from 2 exons. NCBI's taxonomy places the organism in Eukaryota, Metazoa, Chordata, Mammalia, Primates, Cercopithecidae. The record is from RefSeq and is a predicted model, not a curated record.
GAACCUGCCCAGCCUGGGCCUCAGGAAGCAGCAUCAAGGGUGCCUCAGCCAUGGCCUGGAUCCCUCUCCUCCUUGGCCUCCUUGCUCACUGCACAGGUUCCAUGGCCUCCUAUGAGCUGACUCAGCCACCCUCAGUGUCAGUGUCCCCAGGACAGCCAGCCAGCAUCACCUGCUCUGGAGAUAAAUUGGAGGAUAAAUAUGCUCACUGAUAUCAGCAGAAGCCAGGCCAGUCCCCUGUGCUGGUCAUCUAUGAAGACAGCAAGUGGCCCUCAGGGAUCCCUGAGCAAGUCUCUGGCUCCAACUCUGGGAACACGGCCACUCUGACCAUCAGCAGGACCCAGGUUCCGGAUGAGGCUAACACUGUCAGGCGUGGGACAGCAACACUGUACACAGUGACACAGACAGAUGCGGAGUGAGACAGAAACCUGCCCCCUCGACCUGGCUCACAAGGCCCUGCCCUCUCUCCUGCCCCAUCACACUGAGCAGGAGGGCGCCUUCCAUGUGGAAUGGAAGUUUCCAGUCCUGUCCCUGCCCUUAUGUUCCCGAGAGAUGGGAGCAAUUUCCUGCCCACCUCUAGGCUCAGCUUAUCCCAGAAUAAACUGAGCUGGUCGCUUUGAUGAUCAAA